UCUUCCUAUGGACUCUCGCUGUUGACAACUGGAUCUGGCUGGGAUCACCCCUUUGUCAAUGGGUACAAGUUGCUGCCGACACGGCAACGGAGGAGGGGAGAGGCGACCUUUUCCCUCAAAUGUUCCUCCGCAGAUGGCACUGGCUUCUCUGAUGAAAUCCGAGAUUAUUCUGAGAUCUUUGAAUAAUAAGACAUGUUCUGUAAAGAGAACUGCUAGAAUGGAAGAUAUGCAACAUAUGCUGCAGUCAAGAACUUCACUCUUGUGACAGAUGCUGUUCCCACCUCAGAAACCUACAUGAUCAGUCCAUCAAAAGCAUUUAACAGCCUUUACCUAUUCACAAGGAAUACAAGAGGAGUACUAGAAAUCUCAUUUCCUACUUUCGUGAACAGUGGGAAUGAAGAGGAGCUUCUACUAUGUGACAAGUAAAGUUUCCUUGGUAUCAAGUGAAAGAAAGAUUUCUCUUCAAAUGGCUGUACUGAUUUACUGGUAAAGUUUCACAUAAAAUAAUCCUUGGCAUAAUGUGGCUCAUGUUAAGAAUUUUGUGAAAGACAAUGCACCCUAACAAAUGUUUGUUCAAACCAUUUCCAAUGGAUGUAAAAAAGGAAUGCUGUAGAUUCAGUUUGGGCUAUGAGGAAACAUGGUUGAAAUUGAUGAGGUUAUAACUGUGAUUAAUAUACCUAAUUACUGGUAAAAUGUUUCUUAAUAAAGAAUGA
Molecule: long non-coding RNA, 713 nt
Organism: Myiozetetes cayanensis
Lineage: Eukaryota; Metazoa; Chordata; Aves; Passeriformes; Tyrannidae
Exons: 3
Source: RefSeq, a predicted model, not a curated record